UAGGGAAUCUUCGGCAAUGGGGGCAACCCUGACCGAGCAACGCCGCGUGAGUGAAGAAGGUUUUCGGAUCGUAAAGCUCUGUUGUAAGAGAAGAACGUGUGUGAGAGUGGAAAGUUCACACAGUGACGGUAACUUACCAGAAAGGGACGGCUAACUACGUGCCAGCAGCCGAGGUAAUACGUAGGUCCCGAGCGUUGUCCGGAUUUAUUGGGCGUAAAGCGAGCGCAGGCGGUUUAAUAAGUCUGAAGUUAAAGGCAGUGGCUUAACCAGUGUUCGCUUUGGAAACUGUUAAGCUUGAGUGCAGAAGGGGAGAGUGGAAUUCCAUGUGUAGCGGUGAAAUGCGUAGAUAUAUGGAGGAACACCGGUGGCGAAAGCGGCUCUCUGGUCUGUAACUGACGCUGAGGCUCGAAAGCGUGGGGAGCAAACAGG
Molecule: ribosomal RNA, 429 nt
Filed under: bacterium
Lineage: Bacteria
Description: partial 16S ribosomal RNA
Rfam family: Bacterial small subunit ribosomal RNA
Source: RNAcentral